UGAAUCAAUGAUGACAAAGUACCAGGAAACAAGCAUAAAGGUUAACAAUUUUGCGUACCUGAGACCUAUU
RNAcentral lists this small nucleolar RNA (70 nucleotides) under Choloepus hoffmanni (Hoffmann's two-fingered sloth). Its description in RNAcentral is "Small nucleolar RNA SNORD112 (ENSCHOG00000015709.1)". Lineage: Eukaryota; Metazoa; Chordata; Mammalia; Pilosa; Megalonychidae. The record is from RNAcentral.